GUGGCUCACCCCUGUAAUCCCAGCACUUUGGGAGGCCAAGGCGGGUGGAUCACCUGAGGUCAGGAGUUUGAGACCAGCCUGGCCAACAUGGCGAAAACCCAUCUCUAAUAAAAAUACAAAAAUUAGCCAGGCAUGGUGACAGGCGCCUGUAAUCCAAGCUACUCGAGAGGCUGAGGUGAGAGAAUCACUUGAACUGGGGAGGCAGGGCUUGCAGUGAGCCAAGAUCACUUCAUUGCACUCCAGCCUGGGCAACAGAGCAAGACUCCAUCUCAAAAAAGAAAAAAAAAUUAAAUGCCUUUUGUUUAAAAUACCCAACAAAAUAGUUCAAGCUGUUAACCACUCAUUCGUUUUUCAGAAGUCUUUGAAUUAGAGCAAAAUGGAAUUAUAUUUUCAGUCUGGGUCUUGCUACAUGUCCUCAGGUCCCAGUGAAAAUCCUUGUUACUGAUGAUGUAGAAGUAUUUCUGUCCCCCCACACAGGUUCAGUCUGUAGGUCUUCUUUGGGACUGGAAAAUCCGGGCACAGGGGCCGGCCCUGCAGAGUCUGUCCAGCCCUUCCCCCUCGAGGCUCCUGUCCAAAGCCGCCCAUCACCCCUGGCGGCUGUUCCCUUUGCUUAAGCUUCCCUCAAGGCCAAACAGCCUUCAGCAGAGCUGAACUGCUCAGGGAGGAAGACGAGGGUCACAGGCUGAUCCUCCUGAAUCAGAGGACAGAACAUGUCGUUCUAGUGCCCACAGCCAAGACCUCAAGGAAACAUGUUCUCCCUCCAGUCCACACUGCCCCAGGCGAAGGAGUAAGAGGAAGCUGAUGGUUUGACCCCUUAAGAGAGGGAAAUGCCCAGGGCUGCUGGGGGUGGCCAAGGAAAGAAAGGGCCUGGGGAAGAUUUUGAAGUGCUGAUGGAGCCAGUUUGGAGUCCUGCUAGCGAAAUUUCCACGUGUGCCUAAGCCCGUGAGCUUAUGACCUGGCGAGAGAGGUCCUGGCUCCAGCGCCUAAAGCCCCAGGUGGAGCAUGCACUGGCUGUGCAGCGGCCCCAGUGCACCCUUCUCUUCCCUACUGAGGAACCCUGAGCAGGAGGCUGUCCAGCCGCACGGCCACAGCGUCCUCUCCUGUAACUGGGAAUGAUGGAACCCACUCCUGAGGACUGUGAUGACGGUGAAGUGAGAGGAUGCAUCCACGCCACCAGAGUCCCUGACACUUCUUUGGCAUACAGAUUGGAGCAGUCACUGUUCCAGGGCCCGGCACAGGGGACAGGAAGAGGUUGCUUAGCAUCCCACUUGGCAAGGUCAGGGGCACAAAGACAGGGUGGAGGCACAGUGAGGUCCCAGGCUGGACAGGAUUAAAAUGCCUCGUGGGCAUUUGGUGUAGGUCACCUUGAAUUUCAGGUUCUUUCCAACCCUGAGGUUCCAGUUCUGAAAGGAUAUCCCUUAGGCAGCUGCUUUCCCGGGAAGCAAGAACUCCACUGAGCCUUGAAGGGUCACAGAGGUCCUCACACACACCCCAGAAGGCCCCAGGCAGAGGCAACUUUCCUGUAGGCGGCACAGGCUGCUCAGCCAGACCCCAUGACCUGACCCUGCCAGGAAUGUGACCUGUCUCCCCACCCAGACAUGCCCAGGACCUUGUUUCCCAAGUGUCUGCCUCACCUGGGGGCCUGAUGCCCCCCAGCCUACACCGGGUGCCCUUUCCCCAGUCACAGAUGGCUGAUUUGUUGAAUUAAUGAGUGGCUUCUUCUCUUAUCCUUUCCCUUGGCUCAUUCAAAUAAGCUGGUUUUGCACCAUUCUUUUGCACCAGAGUCACAUGUUUCAAACCGAUUUCAUUUUUUUCCUAGUUUAUACCUAUACGUUUCUUGUGUCCUAUUUGUCUUCAUUGAGAUUUGGAUGGGAAUCGGAUGAUGAGCUGCAAAGAGGUGUCAGAUACUCGGUGUAUUCUGGGAGCUAUUCUCCGAAUGUCCUUCUGGUGGAGACCGAGAUCUCCACCCUUCCUGGGUGGGCCUGGUUCCUCGACCCCCUCCCUCACACUGUGUCCUCAGAGCUCUGUGGAAAAAGCACAUGGGCUGAGGAUGGAAGAAUUUCCCUGUUGAGCUCUUUCCCUAUUGAGUUAAACGAGACCAUAUGAAGUUCCAGAGGGUCUGGCGCAGAGGCCGGGUUAUUCUUGAUCCAGGGGUGUGGGCAGGGGAAACAGUGAUAACCUCCAAGGUAAAAGCAGCGUGUGGGGGAGGGAGCCCGCAGCCAAGCCAAGGGCAAGGGAGAGCUAAGUUCCCAUCCCCGGAAAACACACACAUCCCUCCCGCUGGAAGGUGCUGAGACUAUGGAAUAAACAGACAGUGGAGCCGAGUCCCACCCAUGCCCGCAACCAGCUCUGGACAGUGUCUUUUUAGGAAACAAUGGGAGUGAGUGGAAAGGGUAGAAUGAACACAUGGUCUCCAAGUUGUAGGCGCAGGACGGUGGAACUUGGGAGGAGACAUUCCUCUGGAGGAGAAAAGGAGAAAAAUAGAAAGAGGAUAGUCAAACCCACUGAAAUCCUAAGAGGAUCUCUUUAUCAAAAUACAGUGUCCUCGCUGCAGGCAUAUCAGGUCACAGAAGCAAUUAGUGUCAUAUACGCAUCAGCUUGCAGAGCAGGGAACGGCCUCCAUGGGAAGGCUUCUCCUUGUGGCCAGCCAAGCCCUGGAGUAGACCAGCUAGCCCCUGUGCUGGCACCUCCUGGCUGUGGGUUGCACCUGUGCCCCCACACCCCUAAAGGGAUGCCCACCCUGACGUCUUCCCCCAUUGUCAACGCUGUGCUGGUCAUCUCAUGGGACAGCAGCUUGAACCGUCUUCCAGGCAGUCCCAAGAUAUGAAGCCAGGGGAGAAAUACUCCCAUUCCUUCUUUGGGGUUUGGUCUCAUCAUUCUUAGUGGCGUUUGGGGCCUUUCCAAGCUCCCUUCCUGAUUGUCACCCUGAGGAACAGCCCGGUGGCCUGGCCUGAGAUAGCUGUUGUCCUCACUUCCUUCAACCAACACUCUGCUCCCUUUCGCGUCCCCAUCAGCCAUCCUCACUGAGAAAACUGAGGUGGCAUCGUGGCCCAUGAAAAUCGUCUUCCGUCCGGCUGAGUGGACGCCAGGAACCCAAGAAGCCAUGCCGUCGAGGAUGUCAGUGCAGAUGGAAGACAAGUGCAUGCCCGGCCUAGAGCAAACCCCUGGCCCGGGCAGUGCGCCUUCUGGCAGGAACAUCUCACAGCCUGGAGGGCUCUGGAAGGUUUGUCAGAGUCCCCAAAAGAAAGAGGACUCAUUGGAGGACCAUUCCCAAAUGCUGAUCCACACAUAUUUGCUGCUGAGACAGUUUUGAGUGUUUGCACAAA
Molecule: long non-coding RNA, 3326 nt
Organism: Macaca fascicularis (crab-eating macaque)
Lineage: Eukaryota; Metazoa; Chordata; Mammalia; Primates; Cercopithecidae
Source: Ensembl